AACGUUUUUGCCUGUUUUUGCGAAAAAUAAAAUGCGAAAGAAAUGGAAUAUAAAACAAAUAAGCUGGCAACCAGAGAGCAAUUCCUAUGACCUUCACAUCCGGUGACAAUGCACUGCAAGAGGGUCAAUCAGGCUCUGGCAGAGACUUUAAAGUAGUUGCUGUUGACCUGGCCGAAAAGAGUUGAGCGACUUUAUGAUUAGGUGGAAUGACGGUCCCCACAAAAUCCGGUGGCUAUGAAUAGAUGGAAGUUGUUGCAGCUUCUGGUUAGCUUAUCGACUGUAUGCACAUAAAAUGGGAAGGUUCAGUGCACCUGGAAAUGCAAUUUGCUUGGCCCGUUCAAAACACUCGACACUCGUUUCAAGUGGUUCACUGUGACGUCUGCGCCGUCUACUCUUUCUCUAGACGGCGCGUGAAGUCAUCAGCUAACGCCGGAACGACGUCUCUGCCUGAACUUUGCACCUAGUCAAAGUACUCUGAGACAUCACAUAACCGAGCAACUGGCAACUGGAACUGGCAGUGACUGGCAUUUUCAUUUGUCUAGCUUAAAUGCGUUUUAGCUCCGGGUCUGGUGCCCGGCGACAUGCGGUCUCUUCACCACAUUGGACUCUGGCCGAGAGAGCUAUUUAAUUGACCAUAUCGUCUCUUGUCUUUUGUAUGUUUUUUAUGGCCUAGUGAAUGCUUUUGUCUCACAUUAAAAAUUCUCCAGUUUAAAACUGGGUAAAGGGCAUCUCGCUAAUAAACUCGUCCGUUUAAUUA
Non-coding RNA from Drosophila virilis, 757 nucleotides. NCBI's taxonomy places the organism in Eukaryota, Metazoa, Arthropoda, Insecta, Diptera, Drosophilidae. The record is from RefSeq and is a predicted model, not a curated record.